GACGAACGCUGGCGGCGUGCUUAACACAUGCAAGUCGAACGGAAAGGCCCUGCUUUUGUGGGGUGCUCGAGUGGCGAACGGGUGAGUAACACGUGAGUAACCUGCCCUUGACUUUGGGAUAACUUCAGGAAACUGGGGCUAAUACCGGAUAGGAGCUCCUGCUGCAUGGUGGGGGUUGGAAAGUUUCGGCGGUUGGGGAUGGACUCGCGGCUUAUCAGCUUGUUGGUGGGGUAGUGGCUUACCAAGGCUUUGACGGGUAGCCGGCCUGAGAGGGUGGCCGGCCACAUUGGGACUGAGAUUCGGCCCAGACUCCUACGGGAGGCAGCAGUGGGGAAUAUUGCACAAUGGGCGGAAGCCUGAUGCAGCAACGCCGCGUGCGGGAUGACGGCCUUCGGGUUGUAAACCGCUUUCGCCUGUGACGAAGCGUGAGUGACGGUAAUGGGUAAAGAAGCACCGGCUAACUACGUG
RNAcentral lists this ribosomal RNA (468 nucleotides) under uncultured bacterium. Its description in RNAcentral is "partial 16S ribosomal RNA". It matches the Rfam family "Bacterial small subunit ribosomal RNA", at positions 28 to 507 of the family's 1533-position model. The record is from RNAcentral.